This 253-nucleotide ribosomal RNA is filed under the name uncultured bacterium. Its description in RNAcentral is "partial 16S ribosomal RNA". It matches the Rfam family "Bacterial small subunit ribosomal RNA", at positions 524 to 776 of the family's 1533-position model. The record is from RNAcentral.
UACGUAGGGUGCGAGCGUUAAUCGGAAUUACUGGGCGUAAAGCGUGCGCAGGCGGUUUUGUAAGCCAGAUGUGAAAGCCCCGGGCUUAACCUGAGAAUGGCAUUUGGGACUGCAAGGCUUGAGUGCGGCAGAGGAGACUGGAAUUCCCGGUGUAGCAGUGAAAUGCGUAGAUAUCGGGAGGAAUACCGAUGGCGAAGGCAGGUCUCUGGGAUGACACUGACGCUCAUGCACGAAAGCGUGGGGAGCAAACAGG